UACGAAGGGGGCUAGCGUUGCUCGGAAUGACUGGGCGUAAAGGGCGCGUAGGCGGCUUACAUAGUCAGGCGUGAAAUUCCUGGGCUCAACCUGGGGGCUGCGUUUGAUACGUGUAGGCUUGAGUUCGGAAGAGGGUCGUGGAAUUCCCAGUGUAGAGGUGAAAUUCGUAGAUAUCCGGAGGAACACCGGUGGCGAAGGCGGCUUCCUGGACCGACACUGACGCUGAGGCGCGAAAGCUAGGGGAGCAAACGGG
Molecule: ribosomal RNA, 253 nt
Filed under: uncultured bacterium
Lineage: Bacteria
Description: partial 16S ribosomal RNA
Rfam family: Bacterial small subunit ribosomal RNA
Source: RNAcentral